UGGGAACCUUCCCUAUGGUUCGGAAUAGCCCAGGGAAACUUGGGGUAAUACCGAAUAAGCCCUUCGGGGGAAAGAUUUAUCGCCAUUGGAUGGGCCCGCGUCGGAUUAGCUAGUUGGUGGGGUAACGGCCCACCAAGGCGACGAUCCGUAGCUGGUCUGAGAGGACGAUCAGCCACACUGGGACUGAGACACGGCCCAGACUCCUACGGGAGGCAG
Molecule: ribosomal RNA, 216 nt
Filed under: uncultured bacterium
Lineage: Bacteria
Description: partial 16S ribosomal RNA
Rfam family: Bacterial small subunit ribosomal RNA
Source: RNAcentral